This 454-nucleotide long non-coding RNA is filed under the name Athene cunicularia (burrowing owl). RNAcentral describes it as "lncRNA (ENSACUG00000013827.1)". The record is from RNAcentral. Lineage: Eukaryota; Metazoa; Chordata; Aves; Strigiformes; Strigidae.
AUCCCAGCAUGCUGCUUCCUGCCCGCCUCCUCCCACACCCUACCUGGCAGGCUGCAGGCAGGGAUGCUGCAGCCGGCAGCAGUGCAGGCAGCUGAGGGGCAUGCCCCGGGGGGGCCGGCGGCUCAGCACCAGGAGCCCCGCUGCAGAUGAAGCCCUGGGAGAGGUGCCGGAACAUCCCAUGCUGCGCUGCCUGGACUGGAAGAGGACAAGACGGAGAGCAGCCACGAGACUUGCUGGGACCUGUGCUGAUUCUUGCCACACAAGAUGACAGCAAGAGACGGGCCCCAAGAUAGGUACAAGGCUGUCUGGCUGAUCUUCUUCAUCCUUGGCCUGGGAACGCUGCUACCAUGGAAUUUCUUCAUGACCGCCAGGGAGGUGAGGGCUUCCCUCCCACUGCUUCCCGUGACACUAAUCGUCCCCUGCCACAUCUAGGGACCAUGGUGUAGUUGUGGCA